This 501-nucleotide ribosomal RNA is filed under the name uncultured bacterium. RNAcentral describes it as "partial 16S ribosomal RNA". It matches the Rfam family "Bacterial small subunit ribosomal RNA", at positions 30 to 523 of the family's 1533-position model. The record is from RNAcentral.
AUUGAACGCUGGCGGCAGGCUUAACACAUGCAAGUCGAGCGGAGCGAGGGUGCUUGCACCUUAGCUUAGCGGCGGACGGGUGAGUAAUGCUUAGGAAUCUGCCUAUUAGUGGGGGACAACAUUCCGAAAGGAAUGCUAAUACCGCAUACGCCCUACGGGGGAAAGCAGGGGAUCUUCGGACCUUGCGCUCAUAGAUGAGCAUAAGUCGGAUUAGCUAGUUGGUGGGGUAAAGGCCUACCAAGGCGACGAUCUGUAGCGGGUCUGAGAGGAUGAUCCGCCACACUGGGACUGAGACACGGCCCAGAGUCCUACGGGAGGCAGCAGUGGGGAAUAUUGGACAAUGGGCGGAAGCCUGAUCCAGCCAUGCCGCGUGUGUGAAGAAGGCCUUUUGGUUGUAAAGCACUUUAAGCGAGGAGGAGGCUACUUAGAUUAAUACUCUGGGAUAGUGGACGUUACUCGCAGAAUAAGCACCGGCUAACUCUGUGCCAGCCGCCGCGGUAA